This 325-nucleotide ribosomal RNA is filed under the name uncultured Methanosaeta sp. RNAcentral's name for it is "bacterial SSU rRNA". It matches the Rfam family "Archaeal small subunit ribosomal RNA", at positions 1013 to 1338 of the family's 1478-position model. Lineage: Archaea; Methanobacteriati; Methanobacteriota; Methanomicrobia; Methanotrichales; Methanotrichaceae. The record is from RNAcentral.
ACCGUGAAGCAUCCUGUUAAGUCAGGCAACGAGCGAGACCCACGUCCACAGUUGCCAGCAUACCCUCCGGGGUGAUGGGUACACUGUGGAGACCGCCGCUGCUAAAGCGGAGGAAGGAAUGGGCGACGGUAGGUCAGUAUGCCCCGAAUCUCCCGGGCUACACGCGGGCUACAAUGGUUGGUACAAUGGGCAUCUACCCGAAAGGGGAAGGAAAUCUCUUAAAGCCAAUCGUAGUUCGGAUUGAGGCUGCAACUCGCCCUCAUGAAGCUGGAAUCCGUAGUAAUCGCGUUUCAACAGAACGCGGUGAAUACGUCCCUGCUCCCUU